CCUACGGGUGGCAGCAGUGGGGAAUAUUGCACAAUGGGGGAAACCCUGAUGCAGCGACGCCGCGUGAGUGAAGAAGUAUUUCGGUACGUAAAGCUCUAUCAGCAGGGAAGAAAAUGACGGUACCUGACUAAGAAGCCCCGGCUAACUACGUGCCAGCAGCCGCGGUAAUACGUAGGGGGCAAGCGUUAUCCGGAUUUACUGGGUGUAAAGGGAGCGUAGACGGCAGCGCAAGUCUGGAGUGAAAUCCCAUGGCUUAACCAUGGAACUGCUUUGGAAACUGUGCAGCUAGAGUGCAGGAGAGGUAAGCGGAGUUCCUAGUGUAGCGGUGAAAUGCGUAGAUAUUAGGAGGAACAGCAGUGGCGAAGGCGGCUUACUGGACUGUAACUGACGUUGAGGCUCGAAAGCGUGGGGAGCAAACAGGAUUAGAUACCAGUAGUC
RNAcentral lists this ribosomal RNA (438 nucleotides) under uncultured bacterium. RNAcentral's name for it is "partial 16S ribosomal RNA". It matches the Rfam family "Bacterial small subunit ribosomal RNA", at positions 338 to 795 of the family's 1533-position model. The record is from RNAcentral.